This is a long non-coding RNA of Amaranthus tricolor (Joseph's coat), 619 nucleotides long. RefSeq lists it as uncharacterized. The transcript has 4 exons. NCBI's taxonomy places the organism in Eukaryota, Viridiplantae, Streptophyta, Magnoliopsida, Caryophyllales, Amaranthaceae. The record is from RefSeq and is a predicted model, not a curated record.
ACUAAACCAAAUUAUAAAAAAUCCAAACCGUAUUUCUCAUUGUAUUAAAUUGGUUUGAUUUGCAGUUUUUAUCCAAUAACUUUCACCCUCAUGAAACAUUGAUUUCUCUUCCUAAAAAAUGCCAUCUCCUCUACUACGCCCCUUCCUGGACAUUUUUUGCCAGAAAUGUGGUGACUGGUGAUCUAGUCUUUCAAAUCGCUCUGAUCUAUACUCUCAAAUGGAUAUUCGGUCAUCUAAUCUUCAAUUAAGUGUGUUGAGAAUCACCAAUAUAGCUGCUAUUGACCAGUUGGUAAUAAUCAGACUAGGUGGUGCAGAUGAUGGAAUUUAGCCAUGGAAGUUGGUGAAAUUCAGCUGUGGGUGUUGCAAGUUUGAAUAUACUAGUAACUGAUUGAUGCAAUACCAAUUGCUAAUUCAGAUGAACAUAUGAAUAACAUUAGCAAAGAGUUGUUAGAAGGUGCUACUCCGUAGAUAAGCAAAGAUUAUUAUACUUCUAUGUUGUAGGAAUAUUUUUAUGUAAACAAUCUCGAAGAUCAUGUACUUGAUAUAGUUAAGCGAGGUCAUAUGACAUUUUAAGCUAUUUAUAUGGAUUUUUGAUCAUCUAUAUAAAUUAUUUUGACUA